AACGAACGCUGGCGGCAGGCCUAACACAUGCAAGUCGAGCGAACCCUUCGGGGUUAGCGGCGGACGGGUGAGUAACGCGUGGGAAUAUGCCCUUUGGUACGGAACAACAGCUGGAAACGGCUGCUAAUACCGUAUGUGCCCUACGGGGGAAAGAUUUAUCGCCAAAGGAUUAGCCCGCGUCGGAUUAGAUAGUUGGUGAGGUAACGGCUCACCAAGUCGACGAUCCGUACCUGGUUUGAGAGGAUGAUCAGGCACACUGGGACUGAGACACGGCCCAG
RNAcentral lists this ribosomal RNA (278 nucleotides) under uncultured bacterium. RNAcentral's name for it is "partial 16S ribosomal RNA". It matches the Rfam family "Bacterial small subunit ribosomal RNA", at positions 29 to 334 of the family's 1533-position model. The record is from RNAcentral.